UUGUUUUUAGCUCACCUGUCCCGAAGGGACAAGUGAGCUUAUGCCAUCACUUGGCGUCCGUCGUCGUCCGUCGUCUGUCGUCUGUCGUCGUCUGUCGUCUGUCGUCGUAAACUAUUUCAAGAAUCUUCUCCUCUGAAACUACUGGGCCAAAUACUUCAAACUUUAACUGAAUGUUCCUUAGGGUAUCUAAUUUAAAAAUUGUAUCCGAAGUUUUGAUCUAUCAACAAACAUGGUCGCCAUUGCUAAAAAUAGAACAUAGGGGUAAAAUGCAGUUUUGGCUUAUAACUCAAAAACCAAAGCAUUUAGAGCAAAUCUGACAUAGGGUAAAUAUUGUUUAUCAGGUCAAGAUCUAUCUGCCCUGAAAUUUUCAGAUGAAUCAGAC
RNAcentral lists this long non-coding RNA (382 nucleotides) under Mytilus galloprovincialis (Mediterranean mussel). Lineage: Eukaryota; Metazoa; Mollusca; Bivalvia; Mytilida; Mytilidae. The record is from RNAcentral.